Molecule: non-coding RNA, 23 nt
Filed under: Mus musculus (house mouse)
Lineage: Eukaryota; Metazoa; Chordata; Mammalia; Rodentia; Muridae
Source: RNAcentral
UGGCUGAGACUCUGUACUGCUGA